Molecule: ribosomal RNA, 437 nt
Filed under: uncultured bacterium
Lineage: Bacteria
Description: bacterial SSU rRNA
Rfam family: Bacterial small subunit ribosomal RNA
Source: RNAcentral
GAUGAACGCUGGCGGCGUGCUUAACACAUGCAAGUCGAACGGGAAUUACUUUAUUGAAGCUUCGGUCGAUAUAAUUUAAUUCUAGUGGCGGACGGGUGAGUAACGCGUGGGUAACCUGCCUUAUACAGGGGGAUAACAGUCAGAAAUGGCUGCUAAUACCGCAUAAGCGCACAGAGCUGCAUGGCUCAGUGUGAAAAACUCCGGUGGUAUAAGAUGGACCCGCGUUGGAUUAGCUGGUUGGUGGGGUAACGGCCCACCAAGGCGACGAUCCAUAGCCGGCCUGAGAGGGUGAACGGCCACAUUGGGACUGAGACACGGCCCAGACUCCUACGGGAGGCAGCAGUGGGGAAUAUUGCACAAUGGGGGAAACCCUGAUGCAGCGACGCCGCGUGAAGGAAGAAGUAUCUCGGUAUGUAAACUUCUAUCAGCAGGGAAGA